UUUCCCAAGGAAGAUAAUGACGGUACUUGAGGAAUCAGCAUCGGCUAACUCCGUGCCAGCAGCCGCGGUAAUACGGAGGAUGCAAGCGUUAUCCGGAAUAAUUGGGCGUAAAGCGUUCGUAGGUGGUGAUGUAAGUCUGCUGUUAAAGCGUGUAGCUUAACUACAUAUAGGCGGUGGAAACUACAUGACUAGAGUGCGUUCGGGGCAGAGGGAAUUCCUGGUGUAGCGGUGAAAUGCGUAGAUAUCAGGAAGAACACCGGUGGCGAAGGCGCUCUGCUAGGCCGUAACUGACACUGAGGGACGAAAGCUAGGGGAGCGAAUGGGAUUAGAUACCCCAGUAGUCCUAGCUGUAAACGAUGGAUACUAGGCGUUGUCUGUAUCGACCCGGACAGUGCCGUAGCUAACGCGUUAAGUAUCCCGCCUGGGGAGUACGCACGCAAGUGUGAAACUCAAAGGAAUUGACGGGGGCCCGCACAAGCGGUGGAGUAUGUGGUUUAAUUCGAUGCAACGCGAAGAACCUUACCAAGGCUUGACAUGUCCGGAAUUUCUUGGAAACGAGAAAGUGCCUUCGGGAACCGGAACACAGGUGGUGCAUGGCUGUCGUCAGCUCGUGUCGUGAGAUGUUGGGUUAAGUCCCGCAACGAGCGCAACCCUCGUUUUUAGUUGCCAGCACUUCGGGUGGGCACUCUAGAGAGACUGCCGGUGACAAACCGGAGGAAGGUGGGGAUGACGUCAAGUCAUCAUGCCCCUUACGUCUUGGGCUACACACGUACUACAAUGCUAUGGACAAAGAGCAGCCAGCCAGCGAUGGUGCGCUAAUCUCAUAAACCAUGGCUCAGUUCAGAUCGCAGGCUGCAACUCGCCUGCGUGAAGUAGGAAUCGCUAGUAAUUGCAGGUCAGCAUACUGCAGUGAAUUCGUUCCCGGGCCUUGUACACACCGCCCGUCACACCAUGGAAGUUGGUCAUGCCCGAAGUCGUUACUCCAACCUUUCG
Molecule: ribosomal RNA, 993 nt
Filed under: uncultured cyanobacterium
Lineage: Bacteria; Bacillati; Cyanobacteriota
Description: bacterial SSU rRNA
Rfam family: Bacterial small subunit ribosomal RNA
Source: RNAcentral